Long non-coding RNA from Vitis riparia (riverbank grape), 626 nucleotides. RefSeq lists it as uncharacterized. NCBI's taxonomy places the organism in Eukaryota, Viridiplantae, Streptophyta, Magnoliopsida, Vitales, Vitaceae. The transcript has 2 exons. The record is from RefSeq and is a predicted model, not a curated record.
CCCAUCUUCCUUUUUCUCUUCUUUUCCUAUUUUUUUUUCUUCUUUCUUCUUCUUUCUUCUUUCUUUUUUCAUCCUCUCAUCCUCAUAUUCAUGGCAGCCUCUACGCCACCACCUCCAUCUCCUGUGUUGUUACCAUCCAUGAGUCCCACACCCACCAUGCCACCAUCUUUGUAUUCCCCCAUGGCUAUUGUUCCCAUGUUCACUACGACUCAAACGUGCUUCCCGAUGUUUCGCCAUAACCCCGAUGUGAUUCUUGAUGUUCCAUCACCAUCAUAGCCACCAUUGUUGCAGCCCACAGCCUUGGUACCUCCUGCACUACCCAUUUAAUUUUGUUGGACUGACAUCAACACCACCAUCUCCAUGGUUGCCACUUCGUUCUUCAUCUUAGGGCUUCAAGAGACGUAGGUAUCUAAGAAAUACAUCAAGAAGAAGACAAUGAUGCAGAAACAAAGAUCACCUCUUAUGAAGAUAAUGUUGUACUUUUCAAUUUAAGUUUGUAUAUUAUUUUAAUUGAAUGUUUUUAGCUAGGUUUUGUUUGUAUAUAGAAAAUAGAGAGGUACUUGAAAAACAUUUAUGGAAUUGUGUUCUUAAUAUUUAAUGUAUAUGUAAUGAUUUUUUUUCUUAAA